Molecule: long non-coding RNA, 4189 nt
Organism: Trachemys scripta elegans
Lineage: Eukaryota; Metazoa; Chordata; Testudines; Emydidae
Exons: 4
Source: RefSeq, a predicted model, not a curated record
UCUGAAACCCCACCAGGGUGUGGGUCUCAGCGCUCACGCUGCACCCUGAGCCUGAAUGUCUACAGUAGUAUUUUUAGCCCUACAGCCCGAGUCCUGCAAGCCCAAGUCAAUUGACCUGGGUUCUGAGGCUCAGUGUAGUUGUAUCCUGAGACUACUUAACCUAUUACUGAACUCUGGGACAGAUUCACUGAAGCAUAAUUGCUCUUAAUGCGAAAUGGUUAUACUUGCAGAGAUGAGAGCAAGUAUAACCCUCCUGGGCUUUUUACUUUAAUAUAUUUUAAGCCUUUAUAGUAUUUUUCUUCUGCGUAAGACCAAACAAAACUUUUCCAGUUUUAAAGUAAAAAUAGCCCCCUUGUUUCACUUCCUUAUCCUGUCAGGCUUUCUCUGAGCACAGUACUUUCUGUCCUUGGCUUUUUGAUCUGGCAGAUUCUGUUGGCAUCUCUCAAGCUUACUGUUAGGCCAGUCUGUAAGCUUCUUUGGAUUCUCUGGAUUUCAGAAGGCUACUCAUGGUCCAGGAUCACAACUAAGACCCAAGUGGUAGUUGUGUUGUUUCCAUCUUUUGUUUUUUAAAUGGAUUAAAUCUAUCCGGUGACUUACAGUUGUGUUAUAUGUUUGACACAGAUCUCUUCAGUGGAAUCCAGAACUGACAAUGCAGGGUCCAGCAAGUCACUUUGGUGUAUCUGAUAGUUGACUGCAUCUAAGCAGGACAGUUCAAGUGUGCUACUUAGGAUAUUUAAAAACGUUGCUAAAUAAAAUAAUAUUACCAAAACUGUAUAGAUAGCAUUAUCUAAGUGAAAUUACAUUUAUAUACUAUUGUACUAUCAGCCAGAGCCUGUUGGCAGCAAUGUUCUACGGGACAUCAUUAGCAUACGAUGUGACUCACACCAUCUUGAACUAGGAUGUCUGGAGCUGUUAACUUAUGAAUUAAUGUGAAAUCUGCUGUUUAAUAAAUACUUUAUACUGCUUGUUUAGUGAUAUUCAGCAGCAGACUGUAAAGUUUCUCAUUGUGAGAGUCACCUGUAAGAUCAGGUUCCUCCUGAUGUCUUGAAUGAAAAUUUCUAUGUUUAGAAAACACCUGCAACUUGUUAAAGCUACUGCACUCGUUCAUCCAAAAUGUAACCUCAGAACAAUUCCAGCCCCUGUGCUUUCUUAGCCAUGCAAUGUCUUAAUUUUCUUCCUAUUUUUGUUUUCUUUAAUUAGGUUGUGCCCCUACAGCCCAAAGCAUGUAAAAAAUCUAAGUUAACCGGAGUUAAGAAUCUGGGUUUAAAUUCUAUCUAAACAGAGUUCUUAUUAAAUCUGUUUCCAACUGCUUGGCCAGCCAGUGUAGACAAAGUGAUAGAAAUACAGGCUGGCCACAUUAUGUCCAAUAUUGUUCAGCCAAGCGGUGUUAGAAGAGUGUUCUGUUGGCUCCCUUCUUAUGCACUGUUUCCAAACUCUGUUACUAGCCCCUUUGAGAGAAGCCCAUACUGCAAAGAAAUGUACAGAACAACGUGGUGUCCAGUGCUACAACUGCAGGGACAGAGUUGUGCAUAAUGCAAAGUUGAGGGAAGGUUUUUUCUUUGUGAUGCAUAAUUAACCUAUCAAAUGCCUCAAGUACCUUAUUAAAGCUUCAUCCUCCUUAUGCCCAGUGGAUGGGCAGUCUUGAAAAUGGGCCUUUCCUUGUGUUGCCUGUGACUUGACAGAUGUCUAUUCACUGAGGACACUUCCUGGGCUUUUCAUUGGCAGCCCUUCUUUUUGCUGAGAGGAGAAAUAUUGAAAAUCAUUAGACAAAUACUUGUCAAGUAUGGCCUUGUCAGGUAUAUUUGGACCCCAGUGCAGCGGGCUGGACUAGAUGACCUCUCGAGAUCCCUUGCAGCCCGGCAUUUCUAUGGUAAAUUAGGAAAUACAUAUGUGCUGCUGGAUCACUUAAUCAACUAAAUAUUGACCUCUUUUGGUGGGGUGGGGAAGGCUUCCUCUACAUAUGAUGAAGUCUCCCAUUGAGUGUGUGGGUGCUGAGAUGAGACCAAAGACUGAUUUUGGACCUGCAGCCUCCUCCACAAGUGCCACAGGUAAAGACAAUUGUAAAUGAAUUAGUGCUGCUUUUAGCUUUUUACAUCUUGCACGUCUCUCCUUGAUUGCAGAAAUCGUCAAGCUCUCAAAAUCAUCCAGUCUGAGGUGGCAGGGCUGCUGCUGUCAGAUCUUGGGCUAAGAGCUCCCAGGUGCUGAGGUCAGCAUUGUAAGAUUGAAGAUGAGACAAUGCCAAAAAGACUGAGAGAAAGGAGAUGGUGCCUUGUGCAACAAUAACUUCUUAUAUCUACAAUGACUUCCAUCUGAGGCUCUCAAUGCUUUACGCCUGCUACUUAAGUCUGAGACAUUGGGCCCCAACUUUUGGACUUUGGCUCAGCUCAUAAACUGACAAAUAAAAACACGACUUCACCCGUAACACAGCUUCUUCUCAAAGGCUGGUCUGGCCCCACCUAUGCUUGUUCUCAGCAGGCUUUGAACUUCCAGAUGCUACUUCUGCAUGGAGCGAACAUGCAGCCUUCGUUCGACUUACUUGAUUAAGUAGAAUUUACAUUUCUCUGGGGGUUUUUAACCAGAAAUAUCAGGUAUGUUCCAUUUCCUGCCUGGUUAGCCUCCCUAUACUUCCUUUUUGGCACUAGCUUUUGAAAGCCACAAGAUAUUUUCCUAAGUGUUCAGUUGCCCCCUAGUGGGCUUCAGGAAAAUAACAUCCUCAUAGUUUAUGGCCACUGUGACCAAUCUGCACUAGAACAUGCAAGAGCAAGAAAAAUCUUAGGGGCAUGUUCUAAGGAAAGACUGGAGUAACUCCACUGACUUCAACAGAGUUACUCUGCAUUCAUACUGGGGGAAUCAAGAUCAGAAUCUUGGUCUGUCUUUAGGAGAGGGAACACAGAUGCUUGCCCUCCUCUGUGGCUAUGGCAGAGUUGCUUUCCUCUAAGUGUCUGCCAGGAAAGAGAGCCAAGGGCACUCAAACCUUUCUCUAAUCCCCACUGUGAAACAGCAUUACACUGCUCUAGAAACGUACUUGUGGAAUUCUGGGCCUUAAUAGCAAUUUUUACUUUUGUGUUGUGACCAGGGUAUCAUGCUGUGCCUUGCUGAAGUGCAUAUAGAUAGUCUGAUUGCUUUUCCCCCCCACACACAUCUGUUUAAAAACAAUUUCUCUCCUAGACUGACUGGCUCCCAACAUCUUUUACCCAUCUAAUGGUAUUUUUAAACAAUCUUCUUCAUACCAGCUGCAGCUCAGGUUCAACCUGGUGUGAUGGCCCUGGCCCACUCAAUUGCCAGUAGAGUUAGGAUUUGAUUUUUAAUACAAAAAUAAUGUAAUUUAACAUGCAGGCUCCUGUCCCCUACUGUUUGUUGCUACUUCAUGAACCUGUGCUAACAGUGAGGGAUGUUGAAAAAAAAGCUCUGAUCGGUAAUACUACCCUUCCUCUCCAUCAAUGGGCAUGAAUUAUGAUCUGCAACAAAAUUGAUUAUUACCCCCACCUUUAUACCAUGGUACAAGACUCUUAAAUCCAGGAUCACAUGAAAGAGCUCAGUUGUAGCUGUCUGCUCCACCAAGGCACUUCUCCCAUCUUGCGCUACAUAUGCAGGAAUACUGUCUAGAAAGCAAUGAUGCCUACGUAAUCUGUAACUCUCUUAAAAGUGAACUUUCCUUCAAAAGGGAAGGAGAGUAGCCCCAGUUUGAGUUAGUCUUCAAGUACGUCUAAGACCAGCUGCUGUGAAACCAUCUUCCCAUCAAGCUUGUAACUGGUAACAAGGUUUUCAUACAGUGCCCUUUAAGUGUAUGGAUGGUGGGCAGAUCAGUGUGUAAUUAAUGCAAAAAUACCACCCUCUGCUCUCUAACUUAGCCCCUCCCUCAAAAAGAAUUAUUCCUUGAGGUUAGUAAUUAGGACCAACAGCUUUAGUCCAGCUGCUGCAUUCCUUUUCAAAGGGUGGCUUAAGUGUGUGCAGUUUAAAAAUCUUUACCCUAAAGAGCUGCUGUUUUCAGUAAUAUCCUAAAAUGAAUGAAAUAUAAGGUCUGAUAGAUUUACUUUGGGGAAGAAGUUACUAUCAAGCAAUGGCUCACUGAGGUUGAGAAGCCAGGAAACUGGGCAGUUAACGGUUCCAUCUCUGUGUGGUGAAAAAGCAUAUGGGCAACACUCUUGAAUAGAUACUGAAAGUGUGCUGUUUUAAAAAAAAAAAAAAA